Dromaius novaehollandiae (emu) is the source of this 1837-nucleotide long non-coding RNA. The record is from Ensembl. NCBI's taxonomy places the organism in Eukaryota, Metazoa, Chordata, Aves, Casuariiformes, Dromaiidae.
UAAGUUUUCAGUUUUAUUUAGCUUCUGAGAGAAGAAGCUGGCAAAACUACACAAUUUGGAGGAGGAGGAAGAGGCUUUCAGAAAGCAACUGAGUCCUGCAGAGGUGACACUCGGCUGGAAAACCUAAAUGAUCGUCCAUAUUGCACCCAAAAGAGAUGGAAGGAGUUGGAGUGUGUGGCAGGCCUAAUCUGAGAAGUGGCUUAUUCUUAAGAAGCAAAGAGAAACAUCCAUAUGCAUGUAAAUGAGGAUACCAAGGAGUACUUGAAUUGUGGAAUCUGCAUCGGUAUCAGURUGUGGUAUCAGCACCAAACAGCAGGUUCUGAAGUUUUCAGAUGUGUGAAACUAAAACAAUUGAGAUGGCAGGCAUGCAGUAUACCUUCACAACCCUGUUGGUGGGAGGGAGGUCUCCUUGCACUGGAUGGACAUCUCUCAACUCUAAGAACUCUGUUAUUUCUAAUUUAUUCUGAGAUGGAUGGAACAAAGGCUGACUUCAGGAACAAUAACUGCCUUAGGAAGGCAGCUGGCUGGCUUGAGUGUUUGCUCUGUGUGGACCAGUGCAGAUACGAUGGCGAGCUCUUUGAACUGGUGGCCAUGGCUCUGCCCCAUAGCAAGGAGCAAACAGAUCGCAGUGCCCCCGUGUUCACGUGGCUGCAGGAAAUCCUCCAGGGAGCUGUGAAAUCCCAAGGAAGCUUCCAGCAUGCCACUGCUUUCUGGACUUGCUUUGCAGCUGAGGAACCUGCAGUUGGKGGCUGUUCCAGACCAGGUGUGACUUUAGGCAGAAGGAUGAUGAGGUGCCAGUUAUUAGCCUUCGCUUGCUGGCUAUCCCCUUUCCUCUGAGAGGAACGGGAAGCCUGGGAGGCAUUCUUGCCAAAGCCUUCCUUGAUGCCAGCCAAAGCGUGUUUGAAGUCUUAUUUAAUUCCAGUGAGUGAUUAUGGAAAUCAGUUCAAAUUAAAAUCCAAAGUACUUGUUUAGGUAAGGUUAGAAACUCGGGCAACAUUCACUAGCCCAAGAAGCUUUUCUUCACCCCCUUGAAUGUGCAUGAAGGAUAGUUUGUAUGCCUGUGACAGAGAAGGGUGAAACGGCCUGGAUGCCACAUCUCUUGCUACCAGAAAACUGCAUUUUGUGCUGUAAGGAAAAGGUGGUUAAUUUGGUCUGAGGCAUAGUCUACUGUCUGCUGGGGAGCUCCAGCUCUUUCCAGUGCAGAGUGUUGUUAGUUCAAGCUCCAUAUGAAACUUAAGUCUAACUGCAAGUUUGAAAACCACUUUCCAUCUGAAGAUCCUUGGUCUAAACUUUUGCUCUUCCUCUUGCCCUUUGCUCCCCCCAUCUUGGGGGAAGUGGGAUCCAGAUUUGGCAAAACCGCGGCCAGUCCCGGAGCCCCCUCGCAGCGGUGCCGCGUGCUGCGCCAGCCGCCGGUGCUGUGUGCCCGCCGUCGGUGUGCGCCGGGCCCUUUCCCCACUGGCAGYGGGGGCUAAGCAGAUGGGAGCAGCUGCCUCAAAGGUCCAUUCUUCUGCCAGAGAUUUAUUGCGACGAGCAGAGGCGCUGGGAUGCGAUAAUUGCCUUCAUUCCCGGACGAAGACCCUGGUGAACAAAAGGCAGUUGCCCGUGAAUCCAUGGUGUGACUCAAGCAUCCGCUCGGAGGGGAGGAGUGAGAGCUGUGUGCCUGUUGCUGUAGCAAAAGCGAAUGGGUGUUAAUCAAAAGGGCAGCUCUGCCCUUUGCAGCAGAGAGCACAGCAGCCCUGCGGAGGUGGCCUGGGCCCUGCAGCCUUCGAAUCCGCCCUCCCGCACUGCCCCGGGGCCUCUGCUUGGGGGAACGCCAGAGCACUAGCGCUGCCGGCUC